CCUACGGGUGGCAGCAGUGAGGAAUAUUGGUCAAUGUGCGUAAGCCUGAACCAGCCAAGUCGCGUGAGGGAUGAAGGUUCUAUGGAUCGUAAACCUCUUUUAUAAGGGAAUAAAGUGUGGGACGUGUCCUGUUUUGUAUGUACCUUAUGAAUAAGGAUCGGCUAACUCCGUGCAAGCAGCCGCGGUAAUACGGAGGAUCCGAGCGUUAUCCGGAUUUAGUGGGUUUAAAGGGUGCGUAGGCGGCCUUUUAAGUCAGCGGUGAAGGUCUGUGGCUCAACCAUAGAAUUGCCGUUGAAACUGGGAGGCUUGAGUAUGUUUGAGGCAGGCGGAAUGCUUGGUGUAGCGGUGAAAUGCUUAGAUAUCACGCAGAACCCCGAUUGCGAAGGCAGCCUGCCAAGCCAUGACUGACGCUGAUGCACGAAAGCGUGGGGAUCAAACAGGAUUAGAUACCCCUGUAGUC
RNAcentral lists this ribosomal RNA (460 nucleotides) under uncultured bacterium. Its description in RNAcentral is "partial 16S ribosomal RNA". It matches the Rfam family "Bacterial small subunit ribosomal RNA", at positions 338 to 795 of the family's 1533-position model. The record is from RNAcentral.